This is a long non-coding RNA of Malaclemys terrapin pileata, 684 nucleotides long. RefSeq lists it as uncharacterized. Lineage: Eukaryota; Metazoa; Chordata; Testudines; Emydidae. The transcript is spliced from 3 exons. The record is from RefSeq and is a predicted model, not a curated record.
GGCCCCGACCCGCCCCCAGCCCCGACCCGCUCUUCCCCGGGGGUUCGGCCUCUGCCUUGAUCGCUCUGCCCCACCCCCCAGCCGCAACAUGCCCCGCCCACUGCGACCUCCUUUCGCCUCCCUCGCGCCCCCGCCCCUGAAACUCCUCUACCUAGGCUGAGGCCGGAAGCGGAAGUGAGUGCGGCGCACAGGACGCCAUUAGGAGAAGGUCAGAGGCGCCAGAAGAGCUGAGGACAGACAGGUCUGAGGAGCAGAGCAGGAGUUCUGGGAAGGAGAAGAGCAAUAUGAAGAUGGAGUCUAAGAUGACAUCAGGUGACUUCUGUGGAGGGAGACAUGCUGGACAGUGCCAAGGACUGGGGAGACAACCAGUAAGAACAAAGAGGUGUCCUUGCACCUGGAAGAGACUAUAAAAGGCAGAUGCCUCAUCUCCAUCUUGUCUUCAAUCCUGCUUCUUACCCGUGGAGGGACUUUGCUACAAAUGGAAGCUCUACACAAAGGACUGAUGACCCAUCCCAGCUGGGGAUGUUCCAGAGACUUGAUUUGAACCUGCAGUUUAUUCCAUCAUUGCUACAAGCCUGAACCAAGAACUUUCCCAUUACUGUGUGUGUAAUUGAUUCCAUUUAACCAAUUCUAGCUCUCAUCUAUAUCUUUUUCCUUUUAUGAAUAAACCUUUAGAUUUUAGAU